UGGGGAAUCUUCCGCAAUGGACGAAAGUCUGACGGAGCAACGCCGCGUGUAUGAUGAAGGUCUUCGGAUUGUAAAGUACUGUCAUUGGGAAGAACGGUUUCUGAAAGAUUGAGAAGACAUGACGGUACCCAAGGAGGAAGCCCCGGCUAACUACGUGCCAGCAGCCGCGGUAAUACGUAGGGGGCAAGCGUUNUCCGGAAAUUAUUGGGCGUAAAGGGCGCGUAGGCGGGCCUUUAAGUCCGGUGUGAAAAGAUCAGGGGCUCAACCCUGAGAGUGCAUCGGAAACUGGAGGCCUUGAGGACAGGAGAGGAAAGUGGAAUUCCACGUGUAGCGGUGAAAUGCGUAGAUAUGUGGAGGAACACCAGUGGCG
Molecule: ribosomal RNA, 370 nt
Filed under: uncultured bacterium
Lineage: Bacteria
Description: partial 16S ribosomal RNA
Rfam family: Bacterial small subunit ribosomal RNA
Source: RNAcentral